RNAcentral lists this ribosomal RNA (636 nucleotides) under Triticum aestivum (bread wheat). RNAcentral's name for it is "partial small subunit ribosomal RNA". The record is from RNAcentral. Lineage: Eukaryota; Viridiplantae; Streptophyta; Magnoliopsida; Poales; Poaceae.
AUGGUUUGGAAGAAUGUGGAUCAUGUUUACAGUUUAGCGAUAACAGCCGUGGUGGGUAUCGACUUAUCUGGCAACUCUCUUACACUAGAAAUCCCAAAUGGGCUCACAACCCUUCUUGGACUCAGGUACCUGAACUUAUCAGGAAAUCAUCUGUCAGGCUAUAUUCCUGGAGACAUUGGCAAUCUGGUACUGCUGGAAUCCUUGGACCUUUCUCGGAACCAACUCAGGGGGGAAAUUCCUCGAGGCUUUGCAGAUUUGAAGAGCAUAAGCAAUCUGAACCUCUCAACCAACAUGUUAUCAGGGAGGAUACCUAUGGGUGAUCAGCUGCGGACACUUGAUGACCCGUCAAUAUACAGCAAUAAUCUUGGGUUAUGCGGAUUUCCGUUGGAAGACUGCGUAAGCUCGUCAACACCGACGCAACCUGAAACGAGUCUGGAUGAAGAUAGAGAGGCGCUGUGGUUUUACUGCUUUGUGGCUGCUGGGUUUAUCUCUGGGUUCUGGCUAUACUUGGGCUUCUUGUUUCGCAGGGAGACAUGGAGAUAUUCAUUCUAUCAGUAUGUGGACAACAUGCAAGCGAAGGUGACCAAGAAUAUACGAAGCUGCAUUUCGUGCUUCCAGGUUAAAGGGCCUGAAUGA